CCUACGGGAGGCAGCAGUGGGGAAUAUUGGACAAUGGGGGGAACCCUGAUCCAGCCAUGCCGCGUGUGUGAAGAAGGCCCUCGGGUUGUAAAGCACUUUCAGUGAGGAAGAACGCCUGGUGGUUAAUACCCAUCAGGAAAGACAUCACUCACAGAAGAAGCACCGGCUAACUCCGUGCCAGCAGCCGCGGUAAUACGGAGGGUGCGAGCGUUAAUCAGAAUUACUGGGCGUAAAGCGCGCGUAGGUGGCUUGAUAAGCCGGUUGUGAAAGCCCCGGGCUCAACCUGGGAACGGCAUCCGGAACUGUCAAGCUAGAGUGCAGGAGAGGAAGGUAGAAUUCCCGGUGUAGCGGUGAAAUGCGUAGAGAUCGGGAGGAAUACCAGUGGCGAAGGCGGCCUUCUGGACUGACACUGACACUGAGGUGCGAAAGCGUGGGUAGCAAACAGGAUUAGAUACCCUUGUAGUC
Molecule: ribosomal RNA, 465 nt
Filed under: Vreelandella stevensii
Lineage: Bacteria; Pseudomonadati; Pseudomonadota; Gammaproteobacteria; Oceanospirillales; Halomonadaceae
Description: partial 16S ribosomal RNA
Rfam family: Bacterial small subunit ribosomal RNA
Source: RNAcentral